GCCGAUAUAGCUCAGUGGUAGAGCGCAUCCUUGGUAAGGAUGAGGUCACGGGUUCAAGUCCCGUUAUUGGCU
This 72-nucleotide transfer RNA is filed under the name Bacteroidota bacterium. RNAcentral's name for it is "Bacteroidetes bacterium (chicken gut metagenome) tRNA-Thr". It matches the Rfam family "tRNA". Rfam says of the family: Transfer RNA (tRNA) molecules are approximately 80 nucleotides in length. Lineage: Bacteria; Pseudomonadati; Bacteroidota. The record is from RNAcentral. RNAcentral also lists the same sequence under 2 other names.